AGGAAAAGAAACUAACAAGGAUUCCCCUAGUAACGGCGAGUGAAGCGGGAAGAGCUCAAAUUUGAAAUCUGGUAGCCUUCGGUUGCCCGAGUUGUAAUCUAGAGAAGUGUUUUCCGUGCCGGCCCAUGUACAAGUCCCUUGGAACAGGGCGUCAUAGAGGGUGAGAAUCCCGUCCUUGACAUGGACCCCCGGUGCUUUGUGAUACACUUUCAACGAGUCGAGUUGUUUGGGAAUGCAGCUCAAAAUGGGUGGUGAAUUCCAUCUAAAGCUAAAUAUUGGCGAGAGACCGAUAGCGAACAAGUACCGUGAGGGAAAGAUGAAAAGCACUUUGGAAAGAGAGUUAAACAGUACGUGAAAUUGUUGAAAGGGAAACGAUUGAAGUCAGUCAUGCUCUUGGGACUUACCUCCCUUGAGUGGGGUCAACAUCAGUUUUGAUCGAUGGAUAAAGGCACGGGGAAGGUAGCACUCUCGGGUGAACUUAUAGCCUCGCGUCAUAUACAUUGAUUGGGACUGAGGAACGCAGCAUGCCUUAUGGCCGGGAUUCGUCCACGUACAU
RNAcentral lists this ribosomal RNA (556 nucleotides) under Naganishia albida. RNAcentral describes it as "partial large subunit ribosomal RNA". It matches the Rfam family "Eukaryotic large subunit ribosomal RNA", at positions 54 to 614 of the family's 3401-position model. The record is from RNAcentral. Lineage: Eukaryota; Fungi; Basidiomycota; Tremellomycetes; Filobasidiales; Filobasidiaceae.